UUAGGACGAACGCUGGCGGCGUGCCUAAUACAUGCAAGUCGAACGGUCUUUCUAUGGAAGCUUGCUUCCACUGAGAAGAUAGUGGCGAACGGGUGAGUAACACGUGGGUAACCUGCCCAUAAGAGGGGGAUAACAUCCGGAAACGGGUGCUAAUACCGCAUAGUUUUCUUGAUCGCAUGAUUGAGAAAGGAAAGACGGCCUUUGUGCUGUCGCUUAUGGAUGGACCCGCGGCGUAUUAGUUAGUUGGUGAGGUAACGGCUCACCAAGACGAUGAUACGUAGCCGACCCGAGAGGGUGAUCGGCCACAUUGGGACUGAGACACGGCCCAAACUCCUACGGGAGGCAGCAGUAGGGAAUCUUCCGCAAUGGACGAAAGUCUGACGGAGCAACGCCGCGUGAGUGAAAGAAGGUUUUCGGAUCGUAAAACUCUGUUGUCAGAGAAGAACAAGUUGGAGAGUAACUGCUCCAGCCUUGACGGUAUCUGACCAGAAAGCCACGGCUAACUACGUGCCAGCCGCGGC
This 521-nucleotide ribosomal RNA is filed under the name uncultured bacterium. Its description in RNAcentral is "bacterial SSU rRNA". It matches the Rfam family "Bacterial small subunit ribosomal RNA", at positions 24 to 518 of the family's 1533-position model. The record is from RNAcentral.